AUUGAACGCUGUCGGCAGGCCUAACACAUGCAAGUCGAACGAGUGGCGGACGGGUGAGUAAUGUCUGGAAAACUGACCGAUGGAGGGGGAUAAAUACUGGAAACGGUAGCUAAUACCGCAUACCCUCGGAUGUGCCAAGCUCGGAUUAGCUAGUCGGUGGGGUAACGGCUCACCUAGGCGACGAUCCCUAGCUGGGCUGAGAGGAUGACCAGCCAGACUGGAACUGAGACACGGUCCAGACUCCUACGGGAGGCAGAAGUGGGGAAUAUUGGAUAAUGGGCGCAAGCCGGAUGCAGCCAUGCCGCGUGUAUGAAGAAGGCCGUCGGGUUGUAAAGUACUUUCAGCGAGGAGGCGUUACUCGAAGAAGAAGCACCGGCUAACUCCGUGCCAGCAGCCGCGGUAAUAC
Molecule: ribosomal RNA, 406 nt
Filed under: uncultured bacterium
Lineage: Bacteria
Description: partial 16S ribosomal RNA
Rfam family: Bacterial small subunit ribosomal RNA
Source: RNAcentral